Molecule: ribosomal RNA, 111 nt
Filed under: Bacteroidales bacterium
Lineage: Bacteria; Pseudomonadati; Bacteroidota; Bacteroidia; Bacteroidales
Source: RNAcentral
UUAGGUGACUAUUGCGGUGGGGUCCACCUCUUCCCAUUCCGAACAGAGAAGUUAAGCCCGCCAGCGCCGAUGGUACUGCAGUUUUUGUGGGAGAGUAGGUCGUCGCCAAUC